Molecule: ribosomal RNA, 332 nt
Filed under: uncultured Glomeromycotina
Lineage: Eukaryota; Fungi; Glomeromycota
Description: eukaryotic LSU rRNA
Source: RNAcentral
CUAAAGCCUUUCAGGUAUGAUUCUGUGGAGCGUGAGGAGUUAAACGCCUUCAUGCCUGCAUAUUCGUGCUCUUGGGUGUACUUGCUCGUGUGGUUGGUUAACAUCAAUUUCGGUUAUCAUAAAAUGGUUGGAGGAAUGUAGCUUCGAUUUCGAUUGAAGUGUUAUAGCCUUUGGCAGAUGUGAUGAUCGGGAUUGAGGAUUGCAACGGAUACCCUUCGGGGCUACCUGUCUGAUCUCUGAUCGUUGCUCUGGUGCCGAAAGCUUGCUUACGGUUAUCAAAGUCGAUGGUCAACAGGUUAGAAUGGGUUAAAUUCGUUAAGGAUGUUGACGUA